This 533-nucleotide ribosomal RNA is filed under the name uncultured bacterium. RNAcentral's name for it is "bacterial SSU rRNA". It matches the Rfam family "Bacterial small subunit ribosomal RNA", at positions 977 to 1509 of the family's 1533-position model. The record is from RNAcentral.
GGCCUUGACAUACUAAGAACUUUCCAGAGAUGGAUUGGUGCCUUCGGGAACUUAGAUACAGGUGCUGCAUGGCUGUCGUCGGCUCGUGUCGUGAGAUGUUGGGUUAAGUCCCGCAACGAGCGCAACCCUUUUCCUUAUUUGCCAGCGGGUCAUGCCGGGAACUUUAAGGAUACUGCCAGUGACAAACUGGAGGAAGGCGGGGACGACGUCAAGUCAUCAUGGCCCUUACGGCCAGGGCUACACACGUGCUACAAUGGUCGGUACAAAGGGUUGCUACCUCGCGAGAGGAUGCUAAUCUCAAAAAGCCGAUCGUAGUCCGGAUCGCAGUCUGCAACUCGACUGCGUGAAGUCGGAAUCGCUAGUAAUCGCGGAUCAGAAUGCCGCGGUGAAUACGUUCCCGGGCCUUGUACACACCGCCCGUCACACCAUGGGAGUUUGUUGCACCAGAAGUAGGUAGUCUAACCGCAAGGAGGACGCUUACCACGGUGUGGCCGAUGACUGGGGUGAAGUCGUAACAAGGUAAGCGUAGAUGA